RNAcentral lists this ribosomal RNA (777 nucleotides) under uncultured Neocallimastigales. Its description in RNAcentral is "partial large subunit ribosomal RNA". It matches the Rfam family "Eukaryotic large subunit ribosomal RNA", at positions 23 to 647 of the family's 3401-position model. The record is from RNAcentral. Lineage: Eukaryota; Fungi; Neocallimastigomycota; Neocallimastigomycetes; Neocallimastigales.
AUAGAGACUCAGAGCUGCAUAUCAAUAAGCGGAGGAAAAGAAACUAACAAGGAUUCCCUUAGUAACGGCGAGUGAAAGCGGGAAGAGCUCAAAUUUGAAAUCUUCAAGGUUCUACCUUGACGAAUUGUAGUUUAUAGAAGUGUUUUCUGUUAGUAGAGUGGCAAAAGUUCUUUGGAAUAGGACAUCAUAGAGGGUGAGAAUCCCGUAUUUGGUACCAUUCUUUCUAGCUUUGUGAUACACUUUCAACGAGUCGGAUUGUUUGGGAAUGCAGUCCAAAAUGGGUGGUAAAUUUCAUCUAAAGCUAAAUAUUGGCGAGAGACCGAUAGCGAACAAGUACCGUGAGGGAAAGAUGAAAAGAACUUUGAAAAGAGAGUUAAACAGUACGUGAAAUUGUCAAAAGGGAAGCGUUUGACACCAGUGUUGUUUUUCCGAAAAUCAAUUAAGAAUGUUUUAUUUUUGAGGAGUUAUGACUUCAUCGGCUUGCUCCUUUCUUUAUGGAACUUUCUUAAUGCACUUUUCGGUUAACAAGUCAACAUCAAUUUCUUUUGUUGUAAAAGAGUAUGAGGAAGGUGGCUUUCUUUUCGGAGAAAGUGUUUAUAGCCUUGUACUUCUGCAAUCGGAGAGAUUGAGGUCUGCAGCGUAGAUCCUUCGGGGUUAGAUACAUUGGUGCUAAGCUAUAGCCUUGUAUAGACAACUUGUUGACUAUGCUCAGUCAUGUAGCUUACUCGCUUGUGCUAUUUUACCUACGCUUAGGAUGUUGACGAGACUGUCGAUCUC